ACUUUUUAAUUUCAACUAUACCUUUGAUAUCGAUGUAGCGAUAUUCAUCUACAAAGCAUUAAAUUUAAAAUAUCUUCACAAUUAUAUCCGAUUUCGAUUUACAAAUAAUCGAUAGAAAUCGCUCGAAUGUUAUCAUUUUUAUGAAAACCACGUUUCGAUAUUGAUUACAAAACUUGCGAUUAAAUGUGAUCCCGCAAAACCGCAAGCUCGCUUAUCCGUUAUACUGUUCUUUGAAAGGCAAUGUCUAAACAUCUCAAACUAUACAGAAAUAUGGAGGCAAUUAGCCGCGAGAGGUCGUUGUUACUCAUCUUGGUUAAUUCAUGAAUCUCUCACUCGCGUCUCCUAACGCACGUGUCGAGUAAGUAAUAUACGCAUGAAUCUUCCGCGAAGGUUAUGUACCUUCGAACGGGAGAGCAUUGACGCAAUAACUGGCACGUGAAAGAUGAAAAAUAACGAAAUAGGAAAUUGAAAGGUAACGAGAGGAAAAAGGAGAAAGAAUAAGAUGUGAAAAACAAGUUGUAAGAGCGAUUUUCAUAUAACGAAUACUUAAACAUAACCUCUAUUAUCAAAGCAAUUACUGAAAAAAUACGUUAUUAAUAUUUAUCAAUAUUUAUUACAACACUCAAGGAAAUAAUUAUCAGAAAUAAAAAAAUGAAGAGUUACUGGUGUACGAUCUAGUGAUAGUAGUAAACUAUGAAAAGACAUUGGUAACGAUAUUAACAAUGCUGAUAUUCCAAAGUCGAUAGAAAUGAUCUAUGACCUCUGCAUAUUUAUUUUAUCUUCGAUCGGUCAAUUGUCCAUUUUCUUCAUUCGGUUCUCAUACUAUUCGUGUUUUCAGUUGUUCGAAACAGUUAGUGACAGUGCGUGUGUAGUCUACAUUAUAUUUGCGGUUGGCGGUAUGCGAAAUCAAUGGAGGACGACGAGAUAUAGUUGUAUACGGUGAAAUUCUGUAAUAACACGAUACAGUACGUUGCACAAUUCACGUAUCGUGGGACAUGCUAAAAUAUACCGAUACACCUUGAAGUUUUUAUCGAAAACCGGAAAUGAUAAUCCAAUUAUUUGGACGAGC
This is a long non-coding RNA of Apis florea (little honeybee), 1069 nucleotides long. The record is from RefSeq and is a predicted model, not a curated record. Lineage: Eukaryota; Metazoa; Arthropoda; Insecta; Hymenoptera; Apidae.